UACGAAGGGGGCUAGCGUUGCUCGGAGUCACUGGGCGUAAAGGGUGCGUAGGCGGGUCUUUUAAGUCAGGGGUGAAAUCCUGGAGCUCAACUCCAGAACUGCCUUUGAUACUGAGGAUCUUGAGUUCGGGAGAGGUGAGUGGAACUGCGAGUGUAGAGGUGAAAUUCGUAGAUAUUCGCAAGAACACCAGUGGCGAAGGCGGCUCACUGGCCCGAUACUGACGCUGAGGCACGAAAGCGUGGGGAGCAAACAGG
This 254-nucleotide ribosomal RNA is filed under the name uncultured bacterium. RNAcentral describes it as "partial 16S ribosomal RNA". It matches the Rfam family "Bacterial small subunit ribosomal RNA", at positions 524 to 776 of the family's 1533-position model. The record is from RNAcentral.